UGUUUAACAAAGAGAAGCAAAGCCGCGAGGUAGAGCAAAUCUCAAAAAAACAUCUCAGUUCAGACUGCAGGCUGCAACUCGCCUGCACGAAGUCGGAAUUGCUAGUAAUCGUAGGUCAGCAUACUACGGUGAAUACGUUCCCGGGCCUUGUACACACCGCCCGUCAAACCAUGAGAGUUGGCAACACCCGAAGUCGGUAGUCUAACCGCAAGGAGGACGCCGCCGAAGGUGGGGUUGAUGAUUAGGGUUAAGUCGUAACAAGGUAGC
This 267-nucleotide ribosomal RNA is filed under the name uncultured bacterium. Its description in RNAcentral is "partial 16S ribosomal RNA". It matches the Rfam family "Bacterial small subunit ribosomal RNA", at positions 1234 to 1500 of the family's 1533-position model. The record is from RNAcentral.